Molecule: unclassified non-coding RNA, 329 nt
Filed under: fungal sp.
Lineage: Eukaryota; Fungi
Description: partial internal transcribed spacer region
Rfam family: Eukaryotic small subunit ribosomal RNA (bases 1-46)
Source: RNAcentral
AAGUCGUAACAAGGUAACCGUAGGUGAACCUGCGGUUGGAUCAUUACCAAUUGAUUAACUCAUGCAUUCACUCUCGCGGCGUAUGUCGCUUGAGAGGUUUGCGUGUGUCCACCUUUUGUGAACUGUCCUGUCUCUGGCGGAGGGGUUAGCGGUGCUAUGCAUCUGCUGUGGCCUGUCAGCUUGGCUAGCCUAAUCAGCUAGUUUUCAAGCCGUGGACAAACCGCCAAUGGCUUCGGCCAAAGACUUAAACAUUCUCCAAAUUUCUAGUCUGAAGUGAAUUCUGUAUAGUAAUAUACAAACAACUUUUGGCAACGGAUCUCUUGGCUCUC